GGGACCCCCUCAGUCCGCUGACCGAACCGACGCUCUAUCCACUGAGCCAAACCGACCAGGGCUGGAAGAUUUAUUUUGUGUAGACCAAAAGACAACUAGGACUAAAUUAGUGAAAAUUAUUUGGAGAUGAUUUCAGCUCCACUACACGGACGUUAAAAAAAUUAUUUUUUAAUUGAGGCAAACUUUCCCCAAACAAGUGCCUUGGGAGAUUAAAACAAUAAUAAAACGUAAAAAGCAGAGUCUGGUGGGCAGAUAGAUUUAGAUGGGAAAACUAGAUGACUGUUACAAAUCUAGAGAUUCUUUGAGUUGUGGACAGAGUUGCUCUGUAGGUAAAUGGCUGUGAGAUAUUAACAUUUUAGAUGUUAAAGGGUUUGGUAGAAAGCUUGUAAUUUAUUUAAUAGAAACCUUGGUAACCAAAUAAUAAACAUCUGAACAUCAGAAGCCACAUAAAAGUAACAUAAAAUGAAAAAAGUUUCAAAUCAAGUGUUUCUAAAUAUCAAAGUCUUCUUUUGGUCCAAACAGUUUACUAGUAUCUUGAUAGAAUUGCAGCAAUUAUGUAAAAUCGUGUUUUUUCCCCUUUAUCAUUUCUUUUACUUAAGCACUUUACUUAUUUUUAUGUAUUCCUCAUCUUGUUCUAACAACUAUUUGAUCUUAUUUUAGAUUAACAUCACAGUAGGCCUAACCAUUCCCCUGCAGCUGGAAAUUUUGAAUGUUUAUAUAAAUAUAAAUAUAUUAACUUCCUCUUUAAAGUUUUUACAUAUUUAAUGCGAGGCCUGAUUCUCAGAAAUAAUGACAACUCUGACCAAAGAAAC
This is a long non-coding RNA of Myotis brandtii (Brandt's bat), 812 nucleotides long. RefSeq lists it as uncharacterized. Lineage: Eukaryota; Metazoa; Chordata; Mammalia; Chiroptera; Vespertilionidae. The record is from RefSeq and is a predicted model, not a curated record. The transcript has 3 exons.